Molecule: non-coding RNA, 98 nt
Organism: Tinamus guttatus (white-throated tinamou)
Lineage: Eukaryota; Metazoa; Chordata; Aves; Tinamiformes; Tinamidae
Source: RefSeq, a predicted model, not a curated record
AUGAUGUAUCUUAGCUCAACAUAACAUGAUGGUGUCAUCAGCAGAUUGAACCACAGCAACUAAAUCAGUAAGGGCUUGAUCAUUUCAAAAGACAAGCA